Molecule: long non-coding RNA, 326 nt
Filed under: Populus trichocarpa (black cottonwood)
Lineage: Eukaryota; Viridiplantae; Streptophyta; Magnoliopsida; Malpighiales; Salicaceae
Description: long non-coding RNA (PTRI_LNC002323)
Source: RNAcentral
CAGAAAAUUCAAAGAUACAUCAUAGUCCCCACAAAAUUACAGCCAUAAGAAACCAACACAUCUCACCUUACAAGUGAAAACCAAUCCUUGACAUACAAAAGAGAAGAAAAACCAUGAAGAAACUGAACUGCCAUGUAUGGUAGGAAGGACAUGAAAAGCAAUAGCUAAAGAUGGUGACAAGUAGUGUUUAGUUGAUUAUGAUUCAGCAGCAAUUUCUACAGCAGUGAUGCUGACGACUGGAUUUUUCUCACGUUCAUUCUCAAGCUGACUGUAGUUUCCCUUCUCCUUGAAAAGUUGGAUAUGGUGAUGCUUGCAGUAGAGUUUUC